This 732-nucleotide ribosomal RNA is filed under the name uncultured archaeon. RNAcentral's name for it is "bacterial SSU rRNA". It matches the Rfam family "Archaeal small subunit ribosomal RNA", at positions 126 to 859 of the family's 1478-position model. The record is from RNAcentral.
AUAAACCCGGGAAACUGGGUAUAAUACCCGAUAGAUCUCGAAUGCUGGAAUGCAUCGAGCUCGAAAGCUCCGGCGCCUAAGGAUGGGUCUGCGGCCUAUCAGGUAGUAGUGGGUGUAGCGUACCUACUAGCCUACGACGGGUACGGGUUGUGAGAGCAAGAGCCCGGAGAUGGAUUCUGAGACACGAAUCCAGGCCCUACGGGGUGCAGCAGGCGCGAAAACUUUACAAUGCUGGAAACAGCGAUAAGGGGACCUCGAGUGCCAGGUUACAAAUCUGGCUGUCGUGAUGCCUAAAAAGCAUUGCAUAGCAAGGGCCGGGCAAGACCGGUGCCAGCCGCCGCGGUAACACCGGCGGCUCGAGUGGUAACCGUUAUUAUUGGGUCUAAAGGGUCUGUAGCCGGCCGGAUAAGUCUCUUGGGAAAUCCAGCAGCUCAACUGUUGGGCUUUCAGGAGAUACUGUCUGGCUCGAGGCCGGGAGAGGUGAGAGGUACUUCAGGGGUAGGGGUGAAAUCUUGUAACCCUUGAAGGACCACCAGUGGCGAAGGCGUCUCACCAGAACGGACCUGACGGCAAGGGACGAAAGCUAGGGGCACGAACCGGAUUAGAUACCCGGGUAGUCCUAGCCGUAAACGAUACUCGCUAGGUGUCGGCCACGGUGCGACCGUUGUCGGUGCCGUAGGGAAGCCGUGAAGCGAGCCACCUGGGAAGUACGGCCGCAAGGCUGAAACUUAA